CUGGGGACCAAGUUUGUUCACGCCCUGAACAGGCACUGUGCAGGGUGGAGAAACUGGAGAUGUGCUGCCCAGCCGGUGGAGCAGAAGGUUGAAAUGCUGCUACACAGACCAUCGAAGAAAACCUAGGAGAAAACAAGGAAGAGCCUCCUAAAAGUGAUCUUCAGAAUUCAAGGACUGGGCAGAAAAAUAGGAGAGAGGAAGCCCACCCCAAGGAGCUCAUCCUGGAGGGAAAGGCCAAGUUUCAAAAGACAUCAAUUCUUGUUUUAGGAUUGAACUUGGGUCUUCAGAUGCUAAGACAAGCAUUUUUACCCACUGAGCCAUCACAGUGACCACACCCAGGACUCUCCUGAAAAGCCAGGCCCAGGCCCAUGCACACACCCACACUUGGUUAUGCCUUAUCCUCUGCCUGUAUCUUGCUAUUAAUCAUGUGGUGAAACCUAUGUAAAAUCUCUUCCUCGUUGGGGCUGAGGAGAUGGCUCAUCAGAUAGACCAUGUACUGUUCUUGCAGAAGAACUGAGUUUGGUUUUCAGGACCCACGCCAGGUGGCUCAUACCCACCUGCAACUCCAGCUCCAGGGAUCAUCUGAAACCCUCUUCAUGCCUCGGUGGGAAAUUCUCCUCCGUGGACAAGCAAAACUCCUGGUGUCACCAAGUGAGAUCUCUGGAAAUCCUCAGGGUACCGCAGGCCACUGUGGUGCUGAGUUUUUCAGCCUACUUCCCACCGAUGCUGAC
This 731-nucleotide long non-coding RNA is filed under the name Cricetulus griseus (Chinese hamster). Its description in RNAcentral is "lncRNA (ENSCGRG00015029592.1)". The record is from RNAcentral. Lineage: Eukaryota; Metazoa; Chordata; Mammalia; Rodentia; Cricetidae.